GUUUGUGAAUAUUGGACAGUGGGGUGCACUACAUUUUUUUCACAAGCUUGUUUAAAAUGCUCAAGGUUGCAGUUGCUGUUUUUGCCCUAGUAGCUGUGUGCUAUGCACAGCCACCAGAUCCUCCAAAGCCUCCAAUGAUCCCUGAGACACUCAUGGCUGAGAUUGAAGUUAACAUGGCAGAGAACGUUUGAUGGGAAAAGGUAAAUGGGAGCGUGACGAAAUGAAAAUGGCGGCAAUGAGGAGUGUCAUGUUCAAAGACUUGAAGGAUAAUGUUACGUUCACUGACAUGCAUCUGGAAAAGUUUGACACGAAAAUGGCCUACAAUGUUGAAAUGAACAGCACAGGCACCUACUGUAUGAAACAUGCUAUUAAACUACCAAGCAUGCCGAAAGUAUGGGAGUGGCUACAAAAGGCCACUGGAGACAGACACAUGGACCCCCGUUCUAAAUGGAAGUAGACCGAUGGACUCUUCGCCGGGCAAGUUACAGUGUAAAUAUUUGCAUGCUCAGUAAUAACUUUGUUUUAUUUCAGGAAGAUGGUAACGACCUCGUGCUUUUUGUGGCUGAUGAUAAGCCAAACGUUCCCUUAGUUUUGUUCAGUUUUGGAAAGCACGGUGCAGAGGAAGUGAGGUUUACUUCUUUCGUAGCCAUGGCCCCUCCUAGCAGUGACUUUGAUCCCCCUCCCUCAUGCGCAUAGAAAUGAACACAAAACUCUGUAGUUAUUUACCAUAAUUAUAUAGCAGUGAAAACACAAGCGUAUUAGACACCUUUUUGUUAAAUGUGUAAUGCGUGCAUAUUGAAGUGAAUUAAUAUUGAUGAAUAAUGAUACAA
Long non-coding RNA from Halichondria panicea, 830 nucleotides. RefSeq lists it as uncharacterized. The transcript has 4 exons. The record is from RefSeq and is a predicted model, not a curated record. Lineage: Eukaryota; Metazoa; Porifera; Demospongiae; Suberitida; Halichondriidae.